RNAcentral lists this ribosomal RNA (358 nucleotides) under uncultured bacterium. Its description in RNAcentral is "bacterial SSU rRNA". It matches the Rfam family "Bacterial small subunit ribosomal RNA", at positions 1 to 334 of the family's 1533-position model. The record is from RNAcentral.
AUAGUAGUGUCAGAGUUUGAUCCUGGCUCAGGAUGAACGCUGGCGGCGUGCUUAACACAUGCAAGUCGAACGGAAGUGAAUGGAAUGGAGUCUUCGGACAAUAGGAAUUUCACUUUAGUGGCGGACGGGCGAGUAACGCGUGAGCAACCUGCCUUUUACCGUGGAAUAACAAGAGGAAACUCUUGCUAAUACCGCAUAAUGUAUAUUUACGGCAUCGUAGAUAUACCAAAGAAGCAAUUCGGUGAAAGAUGGGCUCGCGUCUGAUUAGAUAGUUGGAGAGGUAACGGCUCACCAAGUCAACGAUCAGUAGCCGGACUGAGAGGUCGAUCGGCCGCAUUGGGACUGAGACACGGCCCAG